Molecule: ribosomal RNA, 523 nt
Filed under: uncultured Paraglomeraceae
Lineage: Eukaryota; Fungi; Glomeromycota; Glomeromycetes; Paraglomerales
Description: SSU rRNA
Rfam family: Eukaryotic small subunit ribosomal RNA
Source: RNAcentral
AGCAGCCGCGGUAAUUCCAGCUCCAAUAGCGUAUAUUAAAGUUGUUGCAGUUAAAAAGCUCGUAGUUGAACUUCAGGCCUGUCCAGAUGGUCCGCCUUAAUUGGUGUGUACUGUCCUUGGGUGGGUCCUACCUUCUGGCGAAGCGGCAUGGCCUUAAUUGGUUGUGUCGGGGAACCAGGACUUUUACUGUGAAAAAAUUAGAGUGUUCAAAGCAGGCAUUAUAUGCUCGAAUACAUUAGCAUGGAAUAAUGGAAUAGGACGAUGGUUCUAUUUUGUUGGUUCUAGGACCGUUGUAAUGAUUAAUAGGGAUAGUUGGGGGCAUUAGUAUUCAAUUGUCAGAGGUGAAAUUCUUGGAUUUAUUGAAGACUAACUACUGCGAAAGCAUUUGCCAAGGAUGUUUUCAUUAAUCAAGAACGAAAGUUAGGGGAUCGAAGACGAUCAGAUACCGUCGUAGUCUUAACCAUAAACUAUGCCGACUAGGAAUCGGGCGAUGUUGACAAAAUGACUCGCUCGGCACCUCAUG